Methylosinus sp. 3S-1 is the source of this 74-nucleotide transfer RNA. It matches the Rfam family "tRNA". From Rfam's summary of the family: Transfer RNA (tRNA) molecules are approximately 80 nucleotides in length. Their secondary structure includes four short double-helical elements and three loops (D, anti-codon, and T loops). Further hydrogen bonds mediate the characteristic L-shaped molecular structure. tRNAs have two regions of fundamental functional importance: the anti-codon, which is responsible for specific mRNA codon recognition, and the 3' end, to which the tRNAs corresponding amino acid is attached (by aminoacyl-tRNA synthetases). tRNAs cope with the degeneracy of the genetic code in two manners: having more than one tRNA (with a specific anti-codon) for a particular amino acid; and 'wobble' base-pairing, i.e. permitting non-standard base-pairing at the 3rd anti-codon position. The record is from Rfam. NCBI's taxonomy places the organism in Bacteria, Pseudomonadati, Pseudomonadota, Alphaproteobacteria, Hyphomicrobiales, Methylocystaceae.
GCCGCCAUAGCUCAGUUGGUUAGAGCACCAGAUUGUGGAUCUGGGGGUCCCCCGUUCGAGCCGGGGUGGCGGUA